This 163-nucleotide unclassified non-coding RNA is filed under the name plant metagenome. RNAcentral describes it as "partial contains small subunit ribosomal RNA and internal transcribed spacer 1". The stretch from base 1 to 46 matches the Rfam family "Eukaryotic small subunit ribosomal RNA", at positions 1786 to 1831 of the family's 1831-position model. The record is from RNAcentral.
AAGUCGUAACAAGGUUUCCGUAGGUGAACCUGCGGAAGGAUCAUUAUAGAUUUGGCUCCGGCCUUAUUCAUCCUUUAACACCAAUGUGAACCUGUCUGGCCUCCGGGCCGAUGCCAUCCAAACACUGUGUAAUGAACGUAACGUGAUUGUAACCGUAAUAAAA